RNAcentral lists this ribosomal RNA (1367 nucleotides) under uncultured bacterium. RNAcentral's name for it is "partial 16S ribosomal RNA". It matches the Rfam family "Bacterial small subunit ribosomal RNA". The record is from RNAcentral.
AGAGUUUGAUCAUGGCUCAGGAUGAACGCUGGCGGCGUGCAUAACACAUUCAAGUCGAACGGUGACGGGACUUCGGUCCCUGAACAGUGGCGGACGGGUGAGUAACGCGUGAGCAAUUUGCCUGGCAUAGAGGGAUAACACAGGGAAACUUGUGCUAAUACCACAUGACGUAUACGGAUCGCAUGUUCUGUAUACCAAAGGGAAACCGAUGUCAGAUGAGCUCGCGUUGGAUUAGACAGUUGGCAGGGUAACGGCCUACCAAAUCAACGAUCCAUAGCCGAACUGAGAGGUUGAACGGCCACAUUGGAACUGAGAAACGGUCCAGACUCCUACGGGAGGCAGCAGUGGGGAAUAUUGGGCAAUGGGCGAAAGCCUGACCCAGCGACGCCGCGUGAGGGAAGACGGUCUUCGGAUUGUAAACCUCUUUCAGCAGGGAAGAAGCAAGUGACGGUACCUGCAGAAGAAGUCACGGCUAACUACGUGCCAGCAGCCGCGGUAAUACGUAGGUGGCGAGCGUUAUCCGGAAUUAUUGGGUUUAAAGGGUGCGUAGGCUGUUUGUUAAGUCAGGGGUGAAAUACCGCAGCUCAACUGUGGAAUUGCCUUUGAUACUAGCAGGCUUGAAUACUGUUGCCGUGGGAGGAAUGAGUAGUGUAGCGGUGAAAUGCAUAGAUAUUACUCAGAACACCGAUUGCGAAGGCAGCAUACCGGCGCUCAACUGACGCUGAAGCACGAAAGCGUGGGGAUCAAACAGGAUUAGAUACCCUGGUAGUCCACGCAGUAAACGAUGAAUACUCGCUGUUGGCGAUAUACGGUCAGCGGCCAAGCGAAAGCAUUAAGUAUUCCACCUGGGGAGUACGCCGGCAACGGUGAAACUCAAAGGAAUUGACGGGGGCCCGCACAAGCGGAGGAACAUGUGGUUUAAUUCGAUGAUACGCGAGGAACCUUACCCGGGCUUAAAUUGCACUGGACAGGCUCAGAGAUGGGCUCUUCUUCGGACCAGUGUGAAGGUGCUGCAUGGUUGUCGUCAGCUCGUGCCGUGAGGUGUCGGCUUAAGUGCCAUAACGAGCGCAACCCUUGCCAUUAGUUACUAACAGGUCAUGCUGAGGACUCUAGUGGGACUGCCAUCGUAAGAUGUGAGGAAGGUGGGGAUGACGUCAAAUCAGCACGGCCCUUACGUCCGGGGCGACACACGUGUUACAAUGGCGGUCACAGAGGGAAGCUACCCUGCGAAGGGAUGCAGAUCUCGAAAAGCCGUCUCAGUUCGGACUGGAGUCUGCAACUCGACUCCACGAAGCUGGAUUCGCUAGUAAUCGCGCAUCAGCCAUGGCGCGGUGAAUACGUUCCCGGGCCUUGUACUCACCGCCCGU